Molecule: ribosomal RNA, 417 nt
Filed under: uncultured bacterium
Lineage: Bacteria
Description: bacterial SSU rRNA
Rfam family: Bacterial small subunit ribosomal RNA
Source: RNAcentral
AGAGUUUGAUCCUGGCUCAGAACGAACGCUGGCGGCAAACCUAACACAUGCAAGUCGAGCGAGGUAGCAAUACCUAGCGGCGGACGGGUGAGUAACGCGUGGGAACGUACCCUUUGGUUCGGAAUAGCCCCGGGAAACUGGGAGUAAUACCGGAUACGGUCGAGAGACGAAAGAUUUAUAACCGAAGGAUCGGCCCGCGUUGGAUUAGGUAGUUGGUGGGGUAAUGGCCUACCAAGCCGACGAUCCAUAGCUGGUUUGGGAGGAUGAUCACCCACACUGGGACUGAGACACGGCCCAGACUCCUACGGGAGGCAGCAGUGGGGAAUUUUAUCCAAUGGGCGCAAGCCUGAUCUACCCAUGCCGCGUUUCCUCUUUUCCUUAGGGUUGUAAAGAUCUCUCAGUGGGGAAGAUAAUGAC